GCGGUCUAACUAAGUCGUACGUAAGGAGCUGCCUAGGGUAAAAUCGGUGACUGGGGCU
This 58-nucleotide ribosomal RNA is filed under the name uncultured bacterium. RNAcentral describes it as "partial 16S ribosomal RNA". The record is from RNAcentral.